AUAUCAAUAAGCGGAGGAAAAGAAACCAACAGGGAUUGCCCCAGUAACGGCGAGUGAAGCGGCAAUAGCUCAAAUUUGAAAUCCGGCCCCCGGGUCUGAGUUGUAAUUUGAAGAGGAUGCCUCGGUGCGGGCCCCGAUCGAAGUUCCUUGGAACAGGACGUCAUAGAGGGUGAGAAUCCCGUCUGUGGUCGGUGGCCCCUACCGUGUGAGGCUCCUUCGACGAGUCGAGUUGUUUGGGAAUGCAGCUCAAAAUGGGUGGUAAAUUUCAUCUAAAGCUAAAUAUUGGCCAGAGACCGAUAGCGCACAAGUA
RNAcentral lists this ribosomal RNA (310 nucleotides) under uncultured Arthrodermataceae. Its description in RNAcentral is "partial large subunit ribosomal RNA". It matches the Rfam family "Eukaryotic large subunit ribosomal RNA", at positions 40 to 350 of the family's 3401-position model. Lineage: Eukaryota; Fungi; Ascomycota; Eurotiomycetes; Onygenales; Arthrodermataceae. The record is from RNAcentral.